GGGGUGUUGGGGGGGUGUGAAUGUUUGGAAUUUUUAUCUACCGAUCAAUGAAAUAUCAUGACAUAUAUGGGAUACCUCAAAUCCAAUUUAGUGAAAUGAUUUAUUAGCAUAGAUGAUUAUUCGGGACUUAAAUUCAGGGGCCUAGAACUUCUAUGCUAUGUUGCAAGGAGGGAGUGCUUACUUAAUGAAUGAUGAAUGUCUGCAUUUGGAAGCUUGCAGCAUGCCAAUUAUAAUAUGGCUAGUUAUUAUCGAUAGAUAGCAAAGCAUUCUUGUUGGCUUUCAGCCUUCAGUUUAUAGGAGAAAGUGUCAUGGCAUGCAAUAGUAAGAAAAAUUAUAAAAAGAAAUCAUAGCAGUAAUGGGACCUAAAUAGGCGUUGUUGGAAUUGAGAAGCAUAGAAAUUAAAUGAUAAAACUAAAAUUUAGUGUUAUCAAGGUGAAAUUUGACACUAAGGCAACAUUAUACCUUAUAGUCUUAGGCGGGGGGCAAGGCGAGAGCCUUUAUGAAGGAAGGCGUCAUUGCCUAAAUUAUAUAUAUAUAUAUAUGUACUUCUAAUAUAUUUUGUCAUUCUAUUAGCAUAAACAAAAAUCAUAUCACAAAUU
RNAcentral lists this unclassified non-coding RNA (599 nucleotides) under Hevea brasiliensis (rubber tree). The record is from RNAcentral. Lineage: Eukaryota; Viridiplantae; Streptophyta; Magnoliopsida; Malpighiales; Euphorbiaceae.